RNAcentral lists this ribosomal RNA (253 nucleotides) under uncultured bacterium. RNAcentral's name for it is "partial 16S ribosomal RNA". It matches the Rfam family "Bacterial small subunit ribosomal RNA", at positions 524 to 776 of the family's 1533-position model. The record is from RNAcentral.
UACAGAGGCCUCGAGCGUUAGGCGGAAUCACUGGGCUUAAAGCGUGUGUAGGCGGACUUCUAAGUACCUUGUGAGAUCCCACGGCUCACCCGUGGAACUGCUCGGUAUACUGGUCGUCUUGAGCCUUCUAGGGGCGAGUGGAACAAAUGGUGGAGCGGUGAAAUGCGUAGAUAUCAGGAGGAACACCGGUGGCGAAGGCGGGUCUCUGGGCCGAUACUGACGCUGAGGAGCGAAAGCGUGGGGAGCGAACAGG